Long non-coding RNA from Scomber scombrus (Atlantic mackerel), 1533 nucleotides. RefSeq lists it as uncharacterized. The transcript is spliced from 5 exons. Lineage: Eukaryota; Metazoa; Chordata; Actinopteri; Scombriformes; Scombridae. The record is from RefSeq and is a predicted model, not a curated record.
UUGAGCUUUCUGAUACAUAACGGACUUCUGGAGGCGGGGCGACGCGAACUGUCGUUUCCCAGCAAUAGAAACUCAAAGCCCGAAUAACAUCCGGACUCGGCGGACACGGCGGCAUUGAACAUAGUCGGGUUUGACGGAGCUUCUGAUCAUCCAACUUUAAAGCUUUAAAUCCACUCUCAGAUUUUCCACAAUAACAGGUUACCGUUUGGUAGACUUCCUCUGAGCUGGACGUGAACGAGCCUGUUGGACAGACAUUAAACACAGAACUGUGAGGCAUCCAGAGCUGAACCACCAGACGAGUCACUGCAGAAAAACGGAACCUGACUGGUCUUCAUCGUGUGGCGGGUUCAUGCUGCCUCCUGCUGCUGAAGAUACGUACAUGGCAUAGAGGCUGAUAGGAAACAGAGAGGGAACCAGGGACGCUGCCUUUAAUCAUGGGAAACAAGUCCAGAGAGCCAGAGGGCCGUCUGGUAGAACAUGAUGAGGGUCUAUGGGAGAGAUAGUGUUAGGUGGUUGUCUGUGUGGUCGGAAGAAUUUGAAUUUCUAUGUUUUCACUAUUAUCGGGUUUCAUUUUUAUUCCUCAAAUUGCAUGUUUUUAUGUUUUUAUGUUUUUUAUUUCCAAUAUUUACUGUUAAAUGUUUGUUUUAUGUAAACAUUGAGUUGCCAUUGUGUAUGAAAUGCUCUGUAUAAGUAAAGCUGCCUUGCCUUUAUGUGGCAGGCCAACCACUCGGCUACCAAGCCACUCUCAGUUUUUAGAUAAGCACCAGGGUGUAACUUCAUCACUUCAGUUACAGAUAUCAUGUUAAUAACUGUUGCAGUCCAGUUAAACAGAACCUCGUCCUCCUUAAUGCCUCCAUUUAAUGUCACAUUAUAUAAUCAACUGCAUCAGUGUCUGCAGGGAUAAAAGGCUCAAAUCAAGCUACAAGCAGCCUGGUGUUUCCCUUUGUUCCAGUAUGUGGUGUAAAAUACUUUGUUUUUUAUUUAAAUUCAUUGUUUAAUGACUUUGUUCAUGUAUAUAAAUGAGAUAUUUGUUGUUUACUGUGUUUGUAUCUGUAUGUAAAGCCCAGUUAUUAUAUAUCAGAGUGUUGUGCAGCAGCUGGGAAAGUUUUUAAAUGUCUAAACUGAAAUUUUGUAGUUAAGUAUUUUGGAAAUGUUAUAUCAUUUAUAUCAUUUAUAUCAUUUAUAUAAGGUCUUCAAUGUCUGUUACUAAGUUUUUAAGUCUUAUUAAGUUUUAAAUAUUCUAUUUUUUUGCCUUUUUAUUGAACAGUUGGCCAACAGGAAACUGGGUUUGACAUGCAACAAAUGUGCCUGAUUAGAAGCAGGAGCGUUGCAGAUAAACAGCUUACAGUUAAAAUAUGAACAUAUAUUAACAUUGAAUGUGUUACAGUGGAGUAGUGAAAGUCCUGCUCACCAGAAUGACUUGAUGUGUGUGUUCAUUAAACACUAAAUAAAUGAUUGUUAACAAGAUGAUGUUUUCUUAUGUUUUUUUUUUUUUUAAAAGCAAUUUUAACUUGAAACAAUUAAAGACUGUAA